This 490-nucleotide ribosomal RNA is filed under the name uncultured bacterium. Its description in RNAcentral is "partial 16S ribosomal RNA". It matches the Rfam family "Bacterial small subunit ribosomal RNA", at positions 30 to 507 of the family's 1533-position model. The record is from RNAcentral.
AUUGAACGCUGGCGGCAGGCCUAACACAUGCAAGUCGAACGGCAACAGGAAGAAGCCUGCUUCUUUGCUGACGAGUGGCGGACGGGUGAGUAAUGUCCGGGAAACUGUCUGAUGGCGGGGGAUAUCUACUGGAAACGGUUGCUAUAAUCGCAUAUAGUCCCUACACCUGAGAGGGGGACCUUUUGGCCCCUUGCCAUCGUAUGUGCCCAGAUGGGAUUAGCUAGUAGGUGGGGUAACGGCUCACCUAGGCGACGAUCCCUAGCUGGUCUGAGAGGAUGACCAGCCACACUGGAACUGAGACACGGUCCAGACUCCUACGGGAGGCAGCAGUGGGGAAUAUUGGACAAUGGGCGCAAGCCUGAUGCAGCCAUACCGCGUGUAUGAAGAAGGCCUUCGGGUUGUAAAGUACUUUCGGCGGGAAAGAAGAGAAUAAAGUUAAUACCUUGACUCAUUGACGUUACCCGAAGAAGAAGCACCGGCUAACUCCGUG